Non-coding RNA from Caenorhabditis elegans, 79 nucleotides. The record is from Ensembl. NCBI's taxonomy places the organism in Eukaryota, Metazoa, Nematoda, Chromadorea, Rhabditida, Rhabditidae.
AAAUUGAAAAAAAGAACUGAAGAGAGUGGGAUUCGAACCCACGCCCCCGAAGGUACUGGUGCCUUAAACCAGCGCCUUA